AGAGUUUGAUCAUGGCUCAGGAUAAACGCUGGCGGCGUGCCUAACACAUGCAAGUCGAACGCCCUUAGCAAUAAGGGAGUGGCGGACGGGUGAGGAACACGUGGGUCAUCUACCUUUCGGUGAGGAAUACCGGCGAGAAAUCGCCGACAAUACCGCAUACGCUCCCUCGGGAGCAAAGCUCGCAAGGGCGCCGGAAGAUG
This 200-nucleotide ribosomal RNA is filed under the name uncultured bacterium. Its description in RNAcentral is "partial 16S ribosomal RNA". It matches the Rfam family "Bacterial small subunit ribosomal RNA", at positions 8 to 227 of the family's 1533-position model. The record is from RNAcentral.